GCCAGCUUUCGAGUUCUCCUUAACUCUUCAUUAGGCAAGGUGUUAUACAAGAUGUUUCACCUCACCCCCUGCUUUGUGUGACUUCUUGCCUGAUGAAGAGUUCUGGAGAACUCAAAAGCUUGC
Molecule: non-coding RNA, 123 nt
Organism: Podarcis lilfordi (Lilford's wall lizard)
Lineage: Eukaryota; Metazoa; Chordata; Lepidosauria; Squamata; Lacertidae
Source: the annotation of a GenBank genome assembly